AGCAAGCUGCCUAGGGAGCUGACCCGAGACUUGGAGCGCAGCCUGCCUGCCGUGGCCUCCCUGGGCUCCUCACUGUCCCACAGCCAGAGCCUCUCCUCGCACCUCCUUCCGCCGCCUGAGAAGCGAAGGGCCAUCUCUGAUGUCCGCCGCACCUUCUGUCUCUUCGUCACCUUCGACCUGCUCUUCAUCUCCCUGCUCUGGAUCAUCGAACUGAAUACCAACACAGGCAUCCGUAAGAACUUGGAGCAGGAGAUCAUCCAGUACAACUUUAAAACUUCCUUCUUCGACAUCUUCGUCCUGGCCUUCUUCCGCUUCUCUGGACUGCUCCUAGGCUAUGCCAUGCUGCGGCUCCGGCACUGGUGGGUGAUUGCGGUCACGACGCUGGUGUCCAGUGCAUUCCUCAUUGUCAAGGUCAUCCUCUCUGAGCAAAGGGGCAUUUGGCUACCUGCUCCCCAUCGUCUCUUUUGUCCUCGCCUGGUUGGAGACCUGGUUCCUUGACUUCAAAGUCCUACCCCAGGAAGCUGAAGAGGAGCGAUGGUAUCUUGCCGCCCAGGUUGCUGUUGCCCGUGGACCCCUGCUGUUCUCCGGUGC
RNAcentral lists this small RNA (591 nucleotides) under Pan troglodytes (chimpanzee). RNAcentral's name for it is "processed transcript". Lineage: Eukaryota; Metazoa; Chordata; Mammalia; Primates; Hominidae. The record is from RNAcentral.